RNAcentral lists this unclassified non-coding RNA (266 nucleotides) under uncultured fungus. RNAcentral describes it as "partial contains 5.8S ribosomal RNA, internal transcribed spacer 2, and large subunit ribosomal RNA". The stretch from base 1 to 52 matches the Rfam family "5.8S ribosomal RNA", at positions 103 to 154 of the family's 154-position model. Lineage: Eukaryota; Fungi. The record is from RNAcentral.
AACGCACAUUGCGCCCACCGGUAUUCCGGUGGGCAUGCCUGUUCGAGCGUCAUUAUCCUCCCUCAAACCUCGCGUUUGGUGUUGGGCCGCGUUGCCGUCCGCCUCAGGACCAACAGGCCUCAAAGACAAUGACGGCGUCCGUGGGACCCUCGGUGCAACGAGCUUCUAAGGAGCACGCGCCGAGUCUAAAGGACCUUCCGGGCCGGUCUCCCCUUUUUACUUACAAGGUUGACCUCGGAUCAGGUAGGAAUACCCGCUGAACUUAA